RNAcentral lists this ribosomal RNA (301 nucleotides) under uncultured bacterium. RNAcentral describes it as "partial 16S ribosomal RNA". It matches the Rfam family "Bacterial small subunit ribosomal RNA", at positions 509 to 807 of the family's 1533-position model. The record is from RNAcentral.
CAGUAGCCGCGGUAAUACGUAGGGUCCGAGCGUUGUCCGGAAUUAUUGGGCGUAAAGAGCUCGUAGGCGGUCUGUCGCGUCUGCCGUGAAAUCCUCAGGCUCAACCUGAGGCGUGCGGUGGGUACGGGCAGGCUAGAGUGCGGUAGGGGAGAAUGGAACUCCUGGUGUAGCGGUGGAAUGCGCAGAUAUCAGGAAGAACACCGAUGGCGAAGGCAGUUCUCUGGGCCGUAACUGACGCUGAGGAGCGAAAGCGUGGGGAGCGAACAGGAUUAGAGACCCGCGUAGUCCCUGUCUCUUAUAC